Molecule: ribosomal RNA, 253 nt
Filed under: uncultured bacterium
Lineage: Bacteria
Description: partial 16S ribosomal RNA
Rfam family: Bacterial small subunit ribosomal RNA
Source: RNAcentral
UACGGAGGAUGCAAGCGUUAUCCGGAAUGAUUGGGCGUAAAGCGUCCGCAGGUGGCUAUGUAAGUCUGCUGUUAAAGAGUGAGGCUCAACCUCAUAAAAGCAGUGGAAACUACAUGGCUAGAGUGCGUUCGGGGCAGAGGGAAUUCCUGGUGUAGCGGUGAAAUGCGUAGAGAUCAGGAAGAACACCGGUGGCGAAAGCGCUCUGCUAGGCCGCAACUGACACUGAGGGACGAAAGCUAGGGGAGCGAACGGG